This 434-nucleotide ribosomal RNA is filed under the name uncultured Oscillospiraceae bacterium. RNAcentral describes it as "partial 16S ribosomal RNA". It matches the Rfam family "Bacterial small subunit ribosomal RNA", at positions 341 to 792 of the family's 1533-position model. Lineage: Bacteria; Bacillati; Bacillota; Clostridia; Eubacteriales; Oscillospiraceae. The record is from RNAcentral.
ACGGAAGGCAGCAGUGGGGAAUAUUGGGCAAUGGGGGAAACCCUGACCCAGCAACGCCGCGUGAAGGAAGAAGGCCUUCGGGUUGUAAACUUCUUUUACCAGGGACGAUAAUGACGGUACCUGGAGAAAAAGCAACGGCUAACUACGUGCCAGCAGCCGCGGUAAUACGUAGGUUGCAAGCGUUGUCCGGAUUUACUGGGUGUAAAGGGCGUGUAGGCGGAGCUGCAAGUCAGAUGUGAAAUCCCGGGGCUCAACCCCGGAACUGCAUUUGAAACUGUAGCCCUUGAGUAUCGGAGAGGCAAGCGGAAUUCCUAGUGUAGCGGUGAAAUGCGUAGAUAUUAGGAGGAACACCAGUGGCGAAGGCGGCUUGCUGGACGACAACUGACGCUGAGGCGCGAAAGCGUGGGUAGCAAACAGGAUUAGAUACCCUGGUA